Molecule: ribosomal RNA, 388 nt
Filed under: uncultured bacterium
Lineage: Bacteria
Description: bacterial SSU rRNA
Rfam family: Bacterial small subunit ribosomal RNA
Source: RNAcentral
ACUCCUACGGGUAGGGCAGCAGUAGGUAAUUUUGCCGCAAUGGACGAAAGGUCUGACGGAGCAAUGCCGCGUGAGUGAUGAAGGUUUUCGAAUCGUAAGCUCUGUUGUAAGGGAAAGAAUAGCAAGAAUAGGAACUGAUUCUGUCUGACGUGCCUUACCAGAAAGGCCACGGCUAACUACGUGCCAGCAGCCGCGGUAAUACGUAGGUGGCAAGCGUUAAUCCGAAUUAUUGGGCGUAAAGCGCAUGUAGGCGGCUCUUUAAGUCUGAUGUGAAAAGGCCCUGUGGCUCAACCACAGAAUUGCAUUGGAUACUGGAGAGCUAGAAUCUUGGAGGUAGGUAAGUGGAAUUUCAUGUUGUAGCGGUGGAAUGCGUAGAUAUAUGAAGGAA